Cloeon dipterum is the source of this 668-nucleotide long non-coding RNA. RefSeq lists it as uncharacterized. The record is from RefSeq and is a predicted model, not a curated record. The transcript has 4 exons. NCBI's taxonomy places the organism in Eukaryota, Metazoa, Arthropoda, Insecta, Ephemeroptera, Baetidae.
CUUUCAGCUUGUUGCUCUAAAUCAUAUACGUUUUGCUUUGGAACUUGUGUUGCUUGAUCGCUUGGAUGAGAUCUUGAGCUCUAAGGACGCGGAUAAGGGGAAGCUGGUCUGCCUACUCAUUGAGUACAUCACUCUCUGGUCCGCGACGAGCGAACUCGCGUUUCACAUGGCUCUGAUUUGGACGUCCUUCACGGAGAUCAGUCUGCAAGCUGUCAAUAUGCUUAACCAGCUGAUACCACUACUGCAGAACAAGCCCGAUUUCCUCUCAGCAGCGAACAGUCUGUACGGCACAGCGGAAAACGAGCGAACCGCCAGAUCAAUCAUCAGCAAAGCACCUACUAACGUUGAGAGAGUUAAUGAAUUAAAGGAAAAACAUACGAAGAAAUUGCAACGGGGUGAGAACGUUUUGGCUCAAUGGACGAGGGAUGCAAUAAAUAGCUACAACUUCAAGGAGUUCCUAAUCUGCACGUACUUCAACACUUCAAAAUCGGAGUAUAACAAUGGAAAACUGUAUUACCCUCUCUAUAACCUGCACUCGGGUGAUCUGACCAACGACCAAAAUCUCUAUACUCGCUUGAUCACACCAAGACAAAUUGAGAGUUUCCCAACAUUGGUAAAAGAAAUCCGUAACAUUUUCAAUUCCCUUUUAUUAAUUGAUGAUAUAUUCC